CCAAACCUAACCAACCCAAAAAUAAAAAUAAAAUACCCCAACCCAUUACAAUUAAAUUAGCCCAACUAAUAACAGCCCAAUAGCUCACAAGACUUAAAAAUUUUCAGCCAAACCCUAAGUCCCCUAGCGCCGCAAGCUUCCAUGCGUGGCCUCGUCGUCUGCCACACCUCCAACGCACGCCUCUGCCACUGCGUCUGACACCUCGACUGCCUCUACCACUGCUACCUGUAAGGAAAGGUGAACACGCAACAACCAAGAAGCCAAGCACAAGCAGACAACAGAAACAAACAAAAAUAGUAGAAUAGAGAGUUGUUCAAAUCGGCUAUAAAGGCGAGAUCAGAUCCUUGUAUUUUUUUUACGCACAUUAGAAAUCAAAACAGCAAAAAAUACAAGUUCGAAAAGGUUAAACCUUUACUGUUUUUAUUCAUUUUAUUUCAUUUUUUUUAUCUUUUUCUUUUUACAACUUCAUUUUAAUAAGAAAAAUAUAGAGAUAAUAACAAAAAAGAAGGGGGAGCGCACCUGAAUCGCUCUGUAGCUCCGUCGACGGAUGUCCUCUCACCGUCGUCGGAAUCGGGUUUAAAAAUGGGGUGCAAGGCUCUUCGUCUCCUCCAGUCGAAGCCCGACCUCAUAGCCCACCUAGAACCGGGUUAUAAAAGCCCUUCAUCACGCUUCGUCGGUCGUCGGUUUAGUGGCGGUGCGCCGGACGAUGAACGGCGGAGGGAAUCCCAACCGCCGGAAGGUAUGGGGAGGGUAUUUGAGAGGGUUCUGCAGAUUUUUUC
This 779-nucleotide long non-coding RNA is filed under the name Gossypium barbadense (sea-island cotton). RNAcentral's name for it is "long non-coding RNA (GBAR_LNC016343)". Lineage: Eukaryota; Viridiplantae; Streptophyta; Magnoliopsida; Malvales; Malvaceae. The record is from RNAcentral.